RNAcentral lists this transfer RNA (18 nucleotides) under Natrix natrix (European grass snake). Its description in RNAcentral is "partial transfer RNA-Leu". Lineage: Eukaryota; Metazoa; Chordata; Lepidosauria; Squamata; Natricidae. RNAcentral also lists the same sequence under 2 other names. The record is from RNAcentral.
UCUACCAAAGGAUAAUAG